RNAcentral lists this ribosomal RNA (562 nucleotides) under Dujonia zeylanoides. RNAcentral describes it as "[Candida] zeylanoides partial large subunit ribosomal RNA". It matches the Rfam family "Eukaryotic large subunit ribosomal RNA", at positions 69 to 647 of the family's 3401-position model. Lineage: Eukaryota; Fungi; Ascomycota; Pichiomycetes; Serinales; Debaryomycetaceae. The record is from RNAcentral.
CAGGGAUUGCCUCAGUAACGGCGAGUGAAGCGGCAAAAGCUCAAAUUUGAAAUCUAGCACUUUCAGUGUUCGAGUUGUAAUUUGAAGAAGGUAACUUUGGUUUUGGCUCUUGUCUAUGUUCCUUGGAACAGGACGUCACAGAGGGUGAGAAUCCCGUGCGAUGAGAUGCCCAAUUCCAUGUAAAGUGCUUUCGAAGAGUCGAGUUGUUUGGGAAUGCAGCUCUAAGUGGGUGGUAAAUUCCAUCUAAAGCUAAAUAUUGGCGAGAGACCGAUAGCGAACAAGUACAGUGAUGGAAAGAUGAAAAGAACUUUGAAAAGAGAGUGAAAAAGUACGUGAAAUUGUUGAAAGGGAAGGGCUUGAGAUCAGACUUGGUAUUUUGCGUUCCCUUCCUUUUUGGUUGGGUUCCUCGCAGUUUACUGGGCCAGCAUCGGUUUGGAUGGUAGGAUAAUGACAUUGGAAUGUAGCUUUACUUCGGUGAAGUGUUAUAGACUUUGUUGAUACUGCCUAUCUAGACCGAGGACUGCGUCUUUGACUAGGAUGCUGGCGUAAUGAUCUUAAGCCG